UCUAAUCUGCAGUUCGAGAAUACCCUUCCCAGACCCCCGGCCGCUGACGCCGUCCGCCGCUGCCCUCCGUCCGCCGCCGCAAGUCUCCGGUGCCGCUGCCCUUCUGCGCGACGUCCGCUGCCCUCCGCAAGUCGCCAGGCUCCAGUCCGCCACGAGCCGCCCCGCCGCUUCGCCGUCCGUCCGCCGGCCGCAACUCACGCACACGCCUACUGAUUUUGAAUUGCCAUCUUGAAAUCUUGAGGUAUUUGUGCUGAGUGUGUGCUGAAUUCAGUUUCUUAAAUGGGUGUUGGGAUAGUUCUGGGUAUGGGAUGUUAUCGGGUACCGCCUACCGUCGCCGUCUCUGACACAACUCCCUCCUUUCCCUCUCCGUCUCUUCUCUCGCAUUGCUCCUCUUUGCUCUCUGUCGGCGCUACCUCCAGCACGCAGCGGCGAUUAGGUUGAACACUACUGUAUUUUAAGCUGAUUGUUUUCCAGUUACUGCAUAGUCAGUUGGUUUCGUUGUUUUGAUUCCAAAUCUCAGCUCCUUUUUGGUCAUCAGUCGAAUGCAUAAUAUAUGUUUGAUGAAAUGCUAAGCAAUCGUCACCGUGCUAUAACCACUGUAUGGUCGGUUCUGGAGCUUCGCAGAUUCGAGUUAAUUGGAUAAAUGACAAAAUAGAAGCGAAAGAGCUGUAUCUGUUUUUGAUAAAAUGAUGCUUCUCACAGGCAGAAAUUGUAGAAUUAAUCAACAUUUCAAUAUCUAUCAGAGGCUGAGUGUUGCCUUGUUUUGUUCCUCUAUGGAAAAGGGCGCAGAAAUUGAAAGAGUUGUGAGAAUGAUUAGUGAGCAUCCUUUUCCAGAUCAGCCACUACGUCCCACUCUACAAUGCCAAAUUCCCCCGGCUGCCUUGUCAACCCCGUUUGUUGAAAACGUGCUAGGUAGCUUGUUUGGUGCCCAUACCAAUGGCCUGAAAGCAUAUGAAUUUUUCAAAUAUUGCCUUGAUUGUAAGCUCUAUGUUCCUAGUUCUGGUGCAUUUGACAAGACACUGCAUAUUCUUGCACGUAUGCGUUACCUUCACAAAGCAUGGGAGUUGUUAGAGAGUAUCAAGCGGAGCCACCCUUCCUUGCUUACGCUCAAGUCAAUGAGCAUAAUGUUGUCUAGAAUAGCGAAAUCUCAAUCCUAUGAAGUCACCCUAGAAGCUUUUGAGAAGAUGGAGAAGUAUAUAUUUCGAGGAAAGAAAUUUGGUACAAAUGAGUUUAAUGUGCUUCUUCAAGCAUUUUGCACACAGCGACAGAUGAAAGAAGCACGAUCUGUUUUCCACAAGUUGCAUCCUCGGUUUCCUCCCAACACCAAGACCAUGAAUAUUUUGCUGCUGGGAUUUAAAGAAUCUGGUGAUAUUACUGCAGUGGAAUUGUUCCAUCAUGAGAUGAUCCGGAGGGGUUUUAAGCCAAACAGUGUUACGUAUAAUAUCAGAAUUGAUGUGUAUUGUAAGAAAGGGUGUUUUGGUGAUGCUCUGAGACUUCUUGAAGAAAUGGAACGUGCAGGUUUCUCUCCCUCGUUAGAAACAAUAACCACGUUAAUUCAUGGAGCUGGGGUGGCUCGUAAUAUCUCAAAGGCUAAGCACUUGUUUGAGGAAAUUCUUAGAAGGUCUCUACGGCCAGACACUGGGGCUUAUAAUGCCUUAUUGAGUUCUCUGGUAAGAUCAAAGGAUGUGCACGCUGCAGUAAGCUUAAUGGAAGAGAUGGAGAAGAGAAACAUUGAGCAUGACAAUGUCACUUAUCAUAAUAUGUUUUUGGGAUUAAUGAGAUCAGAUGGUAUUGAUGGUGUUUCAGCACUUUAUAUGAAGAUGGUUAAGAAAAAUUUUGUGCCAAAGACUCGAACGGUUGUUAUGCUGAUGAAGUUUUUCUGCCAGAAUAGCAGAGUUGACCUGGGAUUGGACUUGUGGAAUUACUUGGUGGAGAAAGGGCACUGUCCUCACACCCAUUCACUAGACCUCCUGGUUACGGGGCUUUGCGCCCGAGGGAGAGUUGAAGAAUCCUUUGCUUGCUCUAAGCAGAUGCUGGAAAGAGGUAGACUUGUGAGCGAGCGAGUGUUCCAAAUGUUGGAGAGGUUUCUGGAGGAGAUGGGGGAGUUGGAGAAAUUAGAGGAAUUGGAGUAUAUGAUAAAGAAGUUGAAGCAAUUGUUGCCUUCAAGUCCUACAUGAAGUUAGACCAGUAAAAUAUGAUCAAGUUCCAAUUAACGUCGGAAGAACCUAUAAUGUUGCAGAAAUUUAGAAAGCAAAGGAGAAAUAGUUCAAAGCAUAACUUCUUUUUAAGAGGCACAGAAGCACCUUCAUAUCUCAGGGUUUUGAGGGGACGUAGUGACAUGUAAUAGCUUUUGAAUGGAAAUGGGGAAGGAUGUAACCAAUUCCUUCACUAUGUUGUGGAUGGAGCUUGAUGAUAGCCAGAUGACUGUCAACAUCAUAUGAUUUUUGGAACUUCAUUCACAUGGUUAGCUAGACAAACCUCUCAUCGACAGCAGAGGCUAUGCCAGAUGAAGCAGUGACACAGGUCUGAAUGACGGUGUUCUCUUGGCGCGUGAAGGGAUGAGUCAACAUGCCAAAUUUCGCCAUCAACUUGGUCCAAAUCUUGACAAAGAAGAACCCGAGUAAAGCAGCUGAUAUAUUGAGUGAAGGUAUGAUUCCAGUGGUGAGGUUGAGUUUCAUCACUAUGCAGCUGAACAGUAGUGACAGCAGAAAGCCUACAGCAAAGGCUCUCACACUCAACUGCUUCCUCCAUGAUGACGCCUCCUUGUUUUCGAACAUCCUCUCCACAGAUAACUCUUCAUCUUCCAAUUCUUUUGCUUCUCCUUUUUUCAAGUUUUCUUCGCUUUUUUGUUUUCCACAUUCUAUGCUGCUUUCAUCCUCCACCACAUUGAUUUCACUUGCAUUGCCCAUUGAUUCUGCCUAUUAUUAGGAGGGUAGUAUUUCUUCUUCUGGUUAACAAUCAAAAGUAGCACAUUUUAUGUUAGCAAC
Salvia miltiorrhiza (redroot sage) is the source of this 2987-nucleotide RNA transcript. It is a transcript of the gene named pentatricopeptide repeat-containing protein At3g61360, with no coding region annotated. NCBI's taxonomy places the organism in Eukaryota, Viridiplantae, Streptophyta, Magnoliopsida, Lamiales, Lamiaceae. The transcript is spliced from 5 exons. The record is from RefSeq and is a predicted model, not a curated record.